This 634-nucleotide long non-coding RNA is filed under the name Salvia miltiorrhiza (redroot sage). RNAcentral describes it as "long non-coding RNA (SMIL_LNC008132)". Lineage: Eukaryota; Viridiplantae; Streptophyta; Magnoliopsida; Lamiales; Lamiaceae. The record is from RNAcentral.
GAUUUUGGCAACGCCAUUUUCUGUUCGCUAUUAUCUAAUCACUUAAACUUGUUCGCGAAAGAGGGUUUGGGGCGGCGGCCUGAAGAAGGUGUUUUCACGUUUCCAUUGAAACAUGUGCGGCAGCCUGAAGAAGGUGAUUUGUUCAUAAUUUUCGGCGUUUAUUACACUGCGAAUUGUUCGAGAAAGGGUAAACAGGGGUUGUGGCCUGAAGAAGGUAAUUUUUUGGGCGAGUUAUACUGGUUGGUUCAUUCUAGAUUUGUUCGGAAUUAUUCGGCUUUUGAUACAUUGCGAACUUGUUUCUGAUUUUUCUAAAUUAUUCGGGAUAAUUAUGUUAUUGAUUUCGACCUAUGUGUGUAUUUAUGUACUUUUCAUUGUUUUGUUGGAUUUCUUAGGACUUUUUCAGUGCUUGUUCGUAAACACUAUUUAUUUAAUUUGUUAUGUUCUUUUUUGUUUUUGGGUGUAUUUGCAGCGUAAUUUUUUGACGAACCCAAAUAGCAGGUUAAAGAUUUACUUCCUUUUGCUAUUUUUUCAAUAAACUUAAAUUUGUAUUGUUGCGAACAUAUGAAUUUUUAUUGAUGAUUGUAGUUUUGUUUGUGUAUAUGGUCGAAGAACAGAUUUACCGGAGAGAUUGGGA